AAUUUAUCGCUGCUGUACUCGGUCCCGGCAGCAGAGACGCGCUGGCAGGGAACCUCCACCCGUCCUGCGGCUCUUUGUGUCACCGCACAGCAGAGCAUCACACGCGAGAAACACAAUGGGCCGAGGAGAUGCGGUGGCUGAAGGCUCUGCUCUAUUAUUCUGAAUUUCAUCUGCUGGGGUUAUUUAUUGGUAGCGAGUGCUGCUUGCAAGGGGAGGGAUGGUAACGAGCUGGGCUGGAGCAUUCCGCCUCAGCUGCUUCUUGGCUACAUUUCCCUGCCACUCCAUGCACUGCAAGUCUGUUUUCCCUCGUGUUCUGAGAUCAUUAGUGAUCAGUUUGGGGGCAUUCAGUCCACUGAGAGGGUUUCAGACAAAGAAUCUUGCAUUUUGCUCACUUCACAAAUUGUUAAGUAGCUACAGCACAACUGUGGUACUGCAGCAUGCUCUCCCAUAACCUUAAACAGCUAGAAAAAAGGGGUGUUAGGAGCAACUGCUAGCAGGCACGCCUGCUCCCACGGAAAGGUUUCACCUCUGCCAUCUACCGGCACACCACAAAGAUCCUCAGCAGAUUUACUUCCCGUCCCCGCUCCUGAAUGUAGACAAAUCCUGUCUGUAAUUGCAUAUUCAAAAAAUGUCGCCGGAAUUUUUAACAUGCAAACUUCCCAGCAAAUCAUCACAGGGUUGUUGUCAGCUCAUUACUGACGAAACCAAGUGAGGGCAGCUGAGAUAAAUUGGUAUCACUUCAGCUGCUUCCAGCAGUUGAAGACGGGCUUUCAAAAGCUCAUCCUAGGUAUCUGCAGCUAACAUCCAGUCCUAAAGGAACACUAAAACAUCUGGAAAGUCAUUCAGGUGGAGAAGAAGCGUACUUGGUAACACACAGAAAAUAACCAUGUUGUAAACAAUGCACAGUAAAGGAGUUCAGCCAGAACAGUGCAAUGGACUGUGCACCUCCAUCUGCUGCUGGAAUACCACUUGUUUAGAGAACUGCUUAAUCGAGACUGGAAAUUGAAAGAACACAGCAAUAUGGAUGAGGUGCAGCUGAAGGAAUUAAAAGGGGAAAAAAAAAUAAGAAAAGAAGAUAAUUGAAAGUCCAACAAAAAAUAGGC
Oxyura jamaicensis (ruddy duck) is the source of this 1103-nucleotide long non-coding RNA. RefSeq lists it as uncharacterized. The record is from RefSeq and is a predicted model, not a curated record. The transcript has 3 exons. Lineage: Eukaryota; Metazoa; Chordata; Aves; Anseriformes; Anatidae.